RNAcentral lists this ribosomal RNA (303 nucleotides) under uncultured bacterium. RNAcentral's name for it is "partial 16S ribosomal RNA". It matches the Rfam family "Bacterial small subunit ribosomal RNA", at positions 507 to 807 of the family's 1533-position model. The record is from RNAcentral.
AGCAGUAGCCACGGGAACACGGAGGGUGCAAGCGUUAUCCGGAUUUAUUGGGUUUAAAGGGUCCGUAGGCGGAUCUGUAAGUCAGUGGUGAAAUCUCACAGCUUAACUGUGAAACUGCCAUUGAUACUGCAGGUCUUGAGUAAAUUUGAAGUGGCUGGAAUAAGUAGUGUAGCGGUGAAAUGCAUAGAUAUUACUUAGAACACCAAUUGCGAAGGCAGGUCACUAAGAUUUAACUGACGCUGAUGGACGAAAGCGUGGGGAGCGAACAGGAUUAGAUACCCCCGUAGUCCCUGUCUCUUAUAC